Molecule: ribosomal RNA, 416 nt
Filed under: uncultured bacterium
Lineage: Bacteria
Description: bacterial SSU rRNA
Rfam family: Bacterial small subunit ribosomal RNA
Source: RNAcentral
AAUCUUGGACAAUGGGCGCAAGCCUGAUCCAGCCAUGCCGCGUGAGUGAUGAAGGCCUUAGGGUCGUAAAGCUCUUUCGCCAGGGAUGAUAAUGACAGUACCUGGUAAAGAAACCCCGGCUAACUCCGUGCCAGCAGCCGCGGUAAUACGGAGGGGGUUAGCGUUGUUCGGAAUUACUGGGCGUAAAGCGCGCGUAGGCGGGUUGUUAAGUUAGAGGUGAAAUCCCGGGGCUCAACCCCGGAACUGCCUUUAAUACUGGCAACCUAGAGUUCGAGAGAGGUGAGUGGAAUUCCGAGUGUAGAGGUGAAAUUCGUAGAUAUUCGGAGGAACACCAGUGGCGAAGGCGGCUCACUGGCUCGAUACUGACGCUGAGGUGCGAAAGUGUGGGGAGCAAACAGGAUUAGAUACCCUGGUAG